CACUGUGAUGCAGGACUCCGCGGGCCACGUGCUUGCCAGGGGCGCUCUUCCUGUGUACACUAGGGAGAGAGUACAGCGCUGUUCUCUCUCUCCAUCCCUCUCCUCUUCCGAACGCUCACUUGCCUGGAAUUGGAGGAAGACCACGGAUUCACUUCAAGAGACUCUGUUCCUUCCUGACUUGAGGCGUGCAGAGAGCUCUCAGUCUGUCCACGUGCAGUCAAGACUAGCAAUUUGUGAGAUGAACCUGCAGUGACAGCUUUCUGGGUCCAGGAACUUCACCAUCUGUAAUGCUUCCAGAGUUGAAAUGCCUGGGUUUGACUCCUAGCUCCACCAUAUACUUUCCACGUGACCUGGGGACUGGGCAAACAAUGGCAAGAAGUUGGAAUUACUAAAUUUAGAAGACCAAGAACAGGGCUACUGUGGAGCUGCAGCUCACGCCUCUGAGGGGAUGCAAUGAUGAAUUUUUCCAUGAUGGAAGAAAAACUGAAAACUGAUCCAACAGAUGCUCCAGGAAGGAGCAGGUCUAUUUUCCUCUUCCAGCCUUGCAGUCUCCGUCCAGCACCCCCUGUUGGCAGAACCUCCAAGGAGCCAGCUAACAAAGCAGAAAUGUGCUUCAUGGAGUCCCAGCCCCAACAUUGCAAAGCAGAGAAAAAAGGAGGGGCUUGAAGGUGAAAGAUAACAGCGAAGUAAUUGGUGAGAUUCAUACAUGUUACGUGUAUCAAUAGCUCCUUUGUUUUUAUUGCUGCAUAAUAUCUGGUUGUAUGAAUAUCACAAUUUACCAUUUUCUUGUUGAUGCACAUUUGGAUUGCUUCCAUCUCUUGACUAUUAUGAAUAAUAAUGAGAAUGAACGUUCUUAGACGUGUUUCCUGGUGCACAUGUGUAUAAGUUUCUGGAGUAUAUGCCUAAAAAUGGAGUUGCUGGGCCGUGGGGGAUGCAUAUACUCAACUUUAAUGGAUAAGGCCAAACAGUUGCCCAAAGUGGGUCUACCAAUGGACACACCCACCAGCCAGCGUAUGAGAGUAGCCAGUUCCUACAUGGUCAAGUCAACUCUUGGUGCUGCUGUCAAUCUUUUACGUUUUAGCCAAUCCGAUAUGAGGAUGGGGUAUGUCAUCGUAGUUUUUAUUUUCAUUUUCCUGAGGACUAAUGACAUUGAGUACAUUUUAUAUGUAUUUAUCAGCAAUUUUAAUAUCCUCUUCUGUGACAUGUCUAUUCAAGUCUCUUGUACAUUUUGCUAUUGGACUAUCUUUUUCUAAUUGAUUUGUAGGAAUUCUUUGUAUAUACAGAAUAUGUCUCCUGUCAGUUACAUAAUACACUUUUUCUUUUGUGAUAACUUACCUUUCCCAC
This 1344-nucleotide long non-coding RNA is filed under the name Equus caballus (horse). Its description in RNAcentral is "lncRNA (ENSECAG00000042055.2)". Lineage: Eukaryota; Metazoa; Chordata; Mammalia; Perissodactyla; Equidae. The record is from RNAcentral.